AAGAAGGUGGCAGAUUGGCUAUGCGUUUGGUUUGAAACCAGAUAAUGGGGGUUCGAUUCCUUCCUUUCUUG
This 71-nucleotide transfer RNA is filed under the name Synapturanus sp. MHNL 19901. RNAcentral's name for it is "tRNA-Ser". It matches the Rfam family "tRNA". Rfam says of the family: Transfer RNA (tRNA) molecules are approximately 80 nucleotides in length. Their secondary structure includes four short double-helical elements and three loops (D, anti-codon, and T loops). Further hydrogen bonds mediate the characteristic L-shaped molecular structure. tRNAs have two regions of fundamental functional importance: the anti-codon, which is responsible for specific mRNA codon recognition, and the 3' end, to which the tRNAs corresponding amino acid is attached (by aminoacyl-tRNA synthetases). tRNAs cope with the degeneracy of the genetic code in two manners: having more than one tRNA (with a specific anti-codon) for a particular amino acid; and 'wobble' base-pairing, i.e. permitting non-standard base-pairing at the 3rd anti-codon position. The record is from RNAcentral. Lineage: Eukaryota; Metazoa; Chordata; Amphibia; Anura; Microhylidae.